RNAcentral lists this transfer RNA (76 nucleotides) under Thermoproteota archaeon. Its description in RNAcentral is "tRNA-Asn". It matches the Rfam family "tRNA". From Rfam's summary of the family: Transfer RNA (tRNA) molecules are approximately 80 nucleotides in length. Their secondary structure includes four short double-helical elements and three loops (D, anti-codon, and T loops). The record is from RNAcentral. Lineage: Archaea; Thermoproteati; Thermoproteota. RNAcentral also lists the same sequence under 1 other name.
GGCGGGGUAGCUCAGUAGGUAGAGCGUCCGGCUGUUAACCGGAAGGUCAUGGGUUCGAAUCCCAUCCCCGCCGCCA